AAAGGAAAAAACUGUACCCUUUACCAGCGGGAGGGGGGGAGGUUUCUCGGUGCGGUGACUCCGCCAUUCCUCUUUCACGGUCGAGGGUUUUCUUCGGUUAACCUGCACUAAAAAAAGACGAGGAACACAAGAGUCAAAGAAUUGAAGGAAACAGAAAGUGGGAAAGGGCUCAUCAGAGUGGUUUUGGGUCGCGGCCGCGAUGGGUCGACCGAGCUCCGUUUAUGUUUUUUGGCUUACCCUUUGGCCUUUUGGCUCUGAUAU
RNAcentral lists this long non-coding RNA (261 nucleotides) under Carica papaya (papaya). RNAcentral describes it as "long non-coding RNA (CPAP_LNC004220)". Lineage: Eukaryota; Viridiplantae; Streptophyta; Magnoliopsida; Brassicales; Caricaceae. The record is from RNAcentral.